This is a long non-coding RNA of Rhincodon typus (whale shark), 239 nucleotides long. RefSeq lists it as uncharacterized. The transcript has 3 exons. The record is from RefSeq and is a predicted model, not a curated record. NCBI's taxonomy places the organism in Eukaryota, Metazoa, Chordata, Chondrichthyes, Orectolobiformes, Rhincodontidae.
AGCCCAGAUCCGCCACCAAGGAGGAACUGCAGCUCGUUCACACUCCUGAUUACGUCGACCUGAUCAAAUCAAUGGAAAACAUGAACACCGUGGAGCUGAGGGCCCAAUCUGAUGGCUUUGACCUGGUCUACUUCCAUCCGCAAACGUACGAGGCGUGCUGUACAGCUGUGGGCUGCGUGCUACAGUUGGUCGACGAGCUGAUGAAGGGCCAAAUCAGGAACGGCUUGGCCGUUGUCAGG